Long non-coding RNA from Mesocricetus auratus (golden hamster), 979 nucleotides. RefSeq lists it as uncharacterized. The record is from RefSeq and is a predicted model, not a curated record. Lineage: Eukaryota; Metazoa; Chordata; Mammalia; Rodentia; Cricetidae. The transcript has 9 exons.
UGAGAGCUCACAUAUUCUUCUUCCAGCGAGGUUUCACUUCCUGAAACUCUUGACCUGAGCCUCCAUGUGCAGUGACGUUGACAACCACCAGCCAUCACAAUAAUGAAGUCAAAAAAGCCUGGGGAAUAUUGGAUUUUGCCUUCAGGGAUUUCUGAUAGUUCAUAGGACAGCCAUGAACACAGACUGUCACUGUACCCCAUAGAGCAAAGCUCUGUUGCUUGAAUCCUGCAAAUUUCAGAUUAGUGAGAAUGUUUCUAAACUCCACCAGUGAUUCAUGACUCCAACUCUCAUUUAGAAAAGCCAUUCACGCAGAAGACUUACAUUGUGUGAAAAUUGGUGACAACAUGUCUUGGACUAGAAGAAAGCAAGCUACCAGAGAUGGCCAACAUUCGCUGAGGUCUCCUGGGGAUUCCAUCACACCAGACAACAGGAAGCAGUGUCAAGGCUAGCCAUUUGGGGAAGAAACUGCCCUUGUCUUGAAUGCUGACAGUAUGCUGUACAAGCUGGACAAGUAGGACCCAAAAGAAAAAGACUGCUGAACUUUACCAAGACAAGGUUGCAGCCUUGAGAUCCUCAGAGCUAUGUGUUUUCCUCCAUUGACCAGAUUACUUCAUGGCUAGGAGUUUCACAUCCUUCUGCAUGCCCUAGUUUCAGGGUACUGUCAAAGCAACUGGUUGUUCUCCACAACCUGAUAAUACGUCUUCACUGCUGAAGAUAACACUUACCGAUGUCAUCUAACACAAAGAAGUGGAAACGGUUAUACAAGAUGUGGAAAUAAAGAUCUGUAAAGGAAAAUGCCAAUGGGAACAUUUUGUGUGUUGCCUUGGCAAUGGUGUGGAAACAGAAGCAGGUGGAAGGACAGCUCUGAGCUGCUGAGUCUGAACAAUCGGGAACCACAGGAAAUGCUCCCCAGACAGCAUGACUGUAAAUUCCAUAUUCAACUCUCUUCAAAGUCUUACAGUAAGGAAAUGUCUUUGAU